AUGACAAGGCCUUUUCAGACUGUUAUUGAACUGUAUGAUCGUGGACAUCAGUAUUUUCCUGAGCUCAUGGCUGAUGUCCUGAUGUUCUAUGCAUCUAAAAUAGCGCCCAAAACCAGAGUCUCGUUCUAUACAUUGUCUGCGUUUCAAUUUUUGGACACACUUUUAACCACACAUCUGAAAUUAUUAUCCUGGACACAGUUUAACCACACAUCUGAAAUUAUCUAUUACCUCUGUCCCAAAAUUCUUGUCUUAUAUACAGUAGUGCUUGUCUUAUACAGUAGUACUUGUCUUAUACAGUAG
Molecule: ribosomal RNA, 300 nt
Filed under: Triticum aestivum (bread wheat)
Lineage: Eukaryota; Viridiplantae; Streptophyta; Magnoliopsida; Poales; Poaceae
Description: partial small subunit ribosomal RNA
Source: RNAcentral